RNAcentral lists this ribosomal RNA (497 nucleotides) under uncultured bacterium. RNAcentral's name for it is "partial 16S ribosomal RNA". It matches the Rfam family "Bacterial small subunit ribosomal RNA", at positions 28 to 507 of the family's 1533-position model. The record is from RNAcentral.
GAUGAACGCUGGCGGCGUGCCUAAUACAUGCAAGUCGAGCGAACAGAUGAGGAGCUUGCUCCUCUGACGUUAGCGGCAGACGGGUGAGUAACACGUGGAUAACCUACCUAUAAGACUGGGAUCACUUCGGAAAACGGGAGCUAAUACCGGAUAAUCUCUUGAACCGCAUGGUUCAAUAGUGAAAUACGGUUUUGCUGUCACUUCUCGAUGGAUCCCGGCCGCUUUAGCUAGUUGGUAAGGUAACGGCUUACCACGGCGAGUAUGCGUAUCCGACCUGAGGGGGGGGUAGCCCACACGAGAACGGAGACAGGGACCAGAGUCCUACGAGAGGGAGCAGUAGGGAAUCGGCCGCAAUGGGCGAAAGCCUGACGGAGUAACGGCGCGUGAGAGAUGAAGGUGUUCGGUGCGGAAAACUCGGUUAUUAGGGAAGAACAAAUGUGUAAGGAAAUAUGCACGUCGUGACGGUAACUAAUCAGAAAGCCACGGCUAACUACGUG